UCAAACCAACUAGAGGAAUAUUUCUUUUGGAAAUUAUAUCCAAAUAUAAUUUCCUUCUGAACUCUCUCAUUCAAUUUUCCUUCAAAUUCAAACUAUCCAAAUCCUAUUCCAAAAUUUAGAAAUCAAUUGUUUUAGUUUGGACUGAAAAUUCCUCUUUUCUCCUUUCGGCCCAUCUCCCUCCUUGGCCCAUGUCGGCCCAGCUGAGCAGAGGCAGCCGCCCCUUUCACCUUUGUGGGCGCGCGCCCGACGCCGCCGCAACUGCCGUAAGCGGCUUUGUCACCGCCGCCCACAAUCCUGCCACCGCUGCUGCCGCCUUGCCGACCACGCCAAGCCGACGCCGUGCCGUGCACCUCUUUCCUCGCCGCCUAACUCCUCUGCGGCCGCCACGGGCACGCGCCGCCGUCGCCGACCAAUGGGAGAACGAAGCCGGCGCCGUCGUUCUCUUUCUCACGUCGCCGUCGCCAUAGCCAUGUCUCCCUUCUCCCCUCCAAACCGACUUUAGAAACCGACCUCCGCGGCCUAUAAAUAGACGAUGAGGUCGCCCCUUUCCUCCAUACACAUCCGAGCCUCGAGCUCUAUCUUUCUCUCUCUUCCCCAAUGCCGGCCGCUGGUCGAUCUCCUUCACUGGAGCCCUGCAGGCCAAGCCCUCGCGCCACUACCUUCGUCUCGAUGAGGCAAAUCUAUUCCCCUACUUGCCCCUUCCUUUUCCCCUCCGAGAUAAGCCACCGCCGCCGCCUCUUUUACCGGCCGAAACUGAGCUCGUAUUGUCGCCGUUCCGGCCGUUUCAACCUUCCUCUCUACCAGCCACCAACCUCCCCGAGUGCGCGUCGACCGGGAACACAAUAUGCCGCCGACGUCACCGCACUUUGGCCACUGGAAGCCCGGCUCCCCGCUCGCCCUUUUCUCUCCCUCUCUCUCUCUCUCGGCUCCUAAUUGAAGAGGAGGAGGUGACGGGAGGAAGAAGUAGAGGAGGAGAGAGAAAGAAAAGAAAAAUAAAAGAAAGGCUGACAGUAGAGUCUAUUAUACUUUGGAGGCAACCUGUGGUAUUUCGAGGAUCUGAUAACCAGGUUGCCUAUCUCGGAUUUAUUUGCGUUGGAGCAAGGCAAGUUAUUAUUCCUCCCCUUUGAGCAUAAUAUUCCUAUAUUAUAUAUCUCCAGUAUCUUGCGCAUUAGCCAUACAUGAUUUUGAAUGCAUAACUUGAACAUAUAGCAAACCAGAUAUAUGCUAGAUUUUGCUUAGCCAUGCCUAGUUAGAUUGCAUAAAAUAUAAUGAACUUAGAUUGGAACAGUACGGUAGAAAUGGUUGAUUUCCGGGUGGCUAGUACUGUUCCAACCGGCAUAAGACUGCCAAGUACAUGUGAAGAACAUACGAGUAUGACCGCAAUUCUCGUAUGGGCAUAGACCUAGCUGAUUAAGUUAUCUAGCAAAGGUGGUACCUCUGUAUAGUGGUUCUUCUUAAGUCCUCGCGUAGGAGGCAAAUUUAUGCCGCAAAGGGCAAUUAUGAUAUUUACCGAGGCGCAGGUAAAUAUACUUAUAUUGAUAGUCCAGGGGACUAUAUUAUGGCCAUGUGAUUUUGUGAACCCUGAUUGCGAUGACAUGGUGUCAUACAAUCAGUUCUCUCUAAAGACCUCGGGAACGCCAGAACUCCUCUCGCUGCUGAUAACGUUACGAUCAGAGCGCAUGGGGACUAGAGUUUAUGGAACAGGUACCACUCAUGUUAGUAACUGAAAAGCUUUGCCAUGACAAGGCUAAUGUGUUUGGCACAUCAUGGAUUGCGGGUAAAGCGUACAUCUACUGCAGUAUGAAUAUUCUUAAAACUAUUCGAAUAGCCGUGCUCGCAGUUAUCGGGCAUUGGGACUCAUAUGGCAUCUUGGAUAGAAACCUAAUUCGAAAUUUUAUUAAAUACUGCUGCAUUUAAAACAUUACAGGUUUUCUACUUUUACAUUCUCUGCUUUCUGCAAGUAAACCUAGCUUUACACAGAUAUUAUCAUUUCAUACAUUCAUUGUUGACUAAUAUAAUAGCUUGCUGAGUACGUUGUACUCACCCUUGCUUCAACCCCCCUUUUUCAAAGUCCAUUUGGAGUUUGUGCCGAAGCUGGGAGUUCAGUCAUAUAAGUUAAUUUCAUUUCAACCUAAUUCUCAAGUCUAGAUUAGAUAGAUGGUUUAAGUCUAUAGCCAAACAUUAGAGUUAAGUAAUUCUAUAGCUUCUGUUGUAUUAGUUAACCACAAAUUUGUAAAUACCUAUAUAUUUUGUAAUAAUAUCUCCUUUGGAGCCUUAUUCAAACGUAUGCAAUGAAGAUCCAGAUUGUUGAACCUGUAUCAAUUUACUAAUCUAGGGCUUGAUACAGUCUAAACAUGUCGGUUUCAGUUUCGGGUUGUUUCUUUGGACGUUCGUGGAUAAUUCAUGUUUAUGACUUCUAGAUGAUCCUAUGCGUAUUUAGUACUGUUGUGUGCUAACAAUAAGUCAAGUUGGAGAAAACUUGCUCGGAUAUGGUUUCUUGGUUGAUGCAUGUGUAGGUGAGUGUUGAUGCCUCGGGAGAGCGUUGCCGGUGAUGAUCGGGAGUCAAAUUGGGAGAAAAUGAUGUCCGUAUGAUCAAGAUAUCAUGCGGGAUACUUAGACUAAAGAUCAAUGCACGUGGUUAGUGAAGAUUCCAUAUAGCAUACGAUUGAGAUAUUGUGUGCAUAUGGAAUGCAGAGUCUGUUGAUGAUAUUCCCUAGAGGCAAUCAUAGAGAUGAUUGUAUCACAUACUAUGUUUACAUAUUUAUCCGACAUUGUUCCUUGAAAUAGAUAAUUCGUUAUUGGUUAAUGAAUAUGUGAUUCUUUCAUGAGACUUUUUUUGUUGUAUGCUGUUAUUUCUAAAGGAUCCCUGAUCAAAUAUCAGAUGUGGAACAAAUAUGUCUAAAUGAUUAGCACAUGUAUUGAUUGAUGAUCAUGUGUUAUGGAUCAUGGUAUGGAGAUAUCAAAUUAAUAAUGUGGACAUUUGUUGGGGAA
Non-coding RNA from Oryza sativa Japonica Group (Japanese rice), 2991 nucleotides. The record is from RefSeq and is a predicted model, not a curated record. Lineage: Eukaryota; Viridiplantae; Streptophyta; Magnoliopsida; Poales; Poaceae.